GUCGGAGGUGGGUCUUCAGAGUUGGGUUGUCAUCCUUGAUUCAUCGUCGGGUAGAGAACUAGGUCGUCGCCUUGUCAGAGGUGGGUAGUCGGCUAGUCACUACUCACUAGGUUUGAUCGGAGGUGGGUCGAUGGAUCAGAGUUGGGUUUGAUCGGCGGAGGGAAGCUAGCGAGCUACGAGAGGUUCGCGAGCUGCGGAGGGAAUUAUGGAUUAGGGAGGGUGUGAAGAAUGGAGAUCUUCCGGUGAACAACUGACCUUCGGGUAGCUGAUAACAGUCACUGAAAAUGCAGAGGCAGCAUGCCAGCGUCUGAGGCAGAUUGAAAACCCAGAUAGAUACUCUGGACGAAAUCUUCACAUCGUCGAUUUAGGGUUUCUGGUUUCACGCGGGGAACUUCGGCGGGAAAAUGUUUGGGGAUCCACGGAAAAAAGCUCCGUUGACCGAUUGGGGUUUUCAUUUGGGCGGUGGACCCACUGGCCCAACUACCCAACAACUUUUC
Molecule: long non-coding RNA, 497 nt
Filed under: Linum usitatissimum (flax)
Lineage: Eukaryota; Viridiplantae; Streptophyta; Magnoliopsida; Malpighiales; Linaceae
Description: long non-coding RNA (LUSI_LNC002005)
Source: RNAcentral